AAACCAGCACCUCAAGUGGUCAGGAUGAUUAUUGGGCCUAAAGCAUCCGUAGCCUGUUCUGUAAGUUUUCGGUUAAAUCUGUACGCUCAACGUACAGGCUGCCGGGAAUACUGCAGAGCUAGGGAGUGGGAGAGGUAGACGGUACUCGGGAGGAAGGGGUAAAAUCCUUUGAUCUAUUGAUGACCACCUGUGGCGAAGGCGGUCUACCAGAACACGUUCGACGGUGAGGGAUGAAAGCUGGGGGAGCAAACCGGAUUAGAAACCCGUGUAGUCC
RNAcentral lists this ribosomal RNA (274 nucleotides) under uncultured bacterium. RNAcentral describes it as "partial 16S ribosomal RNA". It matches the Rfam family "Archaeal small subunit ribosomal RNA", at positions 473 to 747 of the family's 1478-position model. The record is from RNAcentral.